UUUUUUUCAAAAAUCAUUGUAAUAUAAAGCUCAUAUGCUAACUCAUCUUUAUGCCAUGCGGAAAGGAGAAGGGAACGAUAGGUUUUGAAAGCAUUCUGCAUUAGAUUUCUCUAACUGAAAAACUUUAAAUUAUUUUCUCUGCAUCUUAAUAAAAGAAUUUUGUUGGGGUAUUGUUGUGGUCGAAAAGGAGCCACCAAAGCCACGGAAAUUUGACUUAAAAUAGAGAGCAGUGCUUGCAAGAGAUGGAAGGUGCGAGGAGGAGAGUUGUGGACGAGAUCCCUGAGUGGCUGCAUAGUGGUUGGAUUACUGAAUAUAAGGCAUCUAUGCUUGCCCAGAUUCAAGACCAGAAGAACAUUGCUUGGAUGGAAGGCCUAGUUGGUUGGACCAUGUGGGUUGAGAAUCAUGACUACAUUAUAUUAUACUGCUUCGUUUGUAUAUGGUGCUUUUUGCUGUGACUUUGAUGGUUGAGGCUUAGCCUUCGGGUUGUCUUUUGUAUUUCUCUGUUACUCUCGAUAUCAUAAAUUAAAAACUAAAGAAAUAAAUUAUUGUAAAGAUAUCAUGGCUUCAAACCCUUGGUUUCUCAUUGUUUCUUCUUUGCUUUGUCAUUUUCUAGAACUUUUAAAUCAAUUUUUUA
This is a long non-coding RNA of Cryptomeria japonica (Japanese cedar), 634 nucleotides long. RefSeq lists it as uncharacterized. The transcript has 2 exons. Lineage: Eukaryota; Viridiplantae; Streptophyta; Pinopsida; Cupressales; Cupressaceae. The record is from RefSeq and is a predicted model, not a curated record.